Triticum aestivum (bread wheat) is the source of this 150-nucleotide non-coding RNA. The record is from Rfam. NCBI's taxonomy places the organism in Eukaryota, Viridiplantae, Streptophyta, Magnoliopsida, Poales, Poaceae.
GUACUUACCUGGACGGGGUCCACGGCCGAUCAUGAAGGGCCGUGGCUUAGGCUAGUGGUCCAUAUUACACUUGGUGAAUGCGAUGGCUUACCAUCUUCCCAAGCGGGAGAGUGGAUGUCAUAAUUUGUGAUAGAGGGGGUACGGCCUCCA